Molecule: long non-coding RNA, 223 nt
Organism: Cyprinus carpio (common carp)
Lineage: Eukaryota; Metazoa; Chordata; Actinopteri; Cypriniformes; Cyprinidae
Exons: 3
Source: RefSeq, a predicted model, not a curated record
UGCUUCUUCUUCACCUGUGUUUGUGUCUCUGUUGAUCUUUCAGACUCUGGGAAGGAAACUGAAACACUCGCUGCUGAUCAGGAGGAGCUCAAAGGAUAAAAUUGGAGAUGAAUUGAAGAGCUCAGAGAUGAACGCAAACUCACAGAAUCGAGGCUCAAAGCUCUUUGAUGGCACAGAUGAGUUUUUCGCUCCAGAAGAAGAAGAAGAACAGAAUGAAGCUGCC